GUGCCAGCCGCCGCGGUAAUACGUAGGUGGCAAGCGUUGUCCGGAAUUAUUGGGCGUAAAGCGCGCGCAGGCGGGAUAUCAAGUCUGUCUUAAAAGUGCGAGGCUCAACCUCGUGAGGGGACAGAAACUGGUAUUCUUGAGUGUCGGAGAGGAAAGUGGAAUUCCAAGUGUAGCGGUGAAAUGCGUAGAGAUUUGGAAGAACACCAGUGGCGAAGGCGACUUUCUGGACGAUGUCUGACGCUGAGGCGCGAAAGCUAGGGGAGCGAACGGGAUUAGAUACCCCGGUAGUCCUAGCCGUAAACGAUGGGUACUAGGUGUAGGGGGUAUCGACCCCUCCUGUGCCGGAGUUAACGCAAUAAGUACCCCGCCUGGGGAGUACGGCCGCAAGGUUGAAACUCAAAUAAAUUGACGG
Molecule: ribosomal RNA, 412 nt
Filed under: uncultured bacterium
Lineage: Bacteria
Description: bacterial SSU rRNA
Rfam family: Bacterial small subunit ribosomal RNA
Source: RNAcentral